Molecule: ribosomal RNA, 420 nt
Filed under: Penicillium cf. verruculosum 41C
Lineage: Eukaryota; Fungi; Ascomycota; Eurotiomycetes; Eurotiales; Aspergillaceae
Description: partial 18S ribosomal RNA
Rfam family: 5.8S ribosomal RNA (bases 108-261)
Source: RNAcentral
CGGGGCCACCUGGUCGCCGGGGGACGUCGUCUCCGGGCCCGCGCCCGCCGAAGCGCUCUGUGAACCCUGAUGAAGAUGGGCUGUCUGAGUACUAUGAAAAUUGUCAAAACUUUCAACAAUGGAUCUCUUGGUUCCGGCAUCGAUGAAGAACGCAGCGAAAUGCGAUAAGUAAUGUGAAUUGCAGAAUUCCGUGAAUCAUCGAAUCUUUGAACGCACAUUGCGCCCCCUGGCAUUCCGGGGGGCAUGCCUGUCCGAGCGUCAUUUCUGCCCUCAAGCACGGCUUGUGUGUUGGGUGCGGUCCCCCCGGGGACCUGCCCGAAAGGCAGCGGCGACGUCCGUCUGGUCCUCGAGCGUAUGGGGCUCUGUCACUCGCUCGGGACGGACCUGCGGGGGAAGGUCACCACCAUAUUUUACCACGGU